AGGGCUGCAUGGUGGUCGGCUGGUCCUUUCGGUCCUUUGGUUCCAGACUGCUGGAGUGCACUGAAAAGCUUCCACUGUGUCAGAUGUGAAAUGGACUGCAGCUACGCAGAACUCCCACUCAUUUGCAAACAGAAGGUCUCCGUCUGGUACUAAUGGCUUUAGGAAAUCCUGACUUUAGACCAACACCAUUCACCAUACAGAGCAACAGAUGGAGGCUACAGACGACCACUCAUGGCAGACCAAACAACACAGUCAUCAGUCAUAAGCGAAAUAAUGGACUGGUCACUGUCCUAAACACUCCCAAGUAUCUCCAUUUUUCUACAUCAUUUGAGCACCAGCUGCAGGAAAAAAUUCAUGAUGAACUGUCCAACAGGAAUGUUCCAAAAUAGUUUGGAUUAAAAUCUCUUUACAUUAACUUACAUUAAAACUUAUGAAUGUUUUUGCCAUCUCCUUUAAAGAUUCCAUUCUGGAGACACUUGUUUUUCUUUGGAUAGUGGCGAUAUGCAGCCACACUUUCCCUGGCAGAAAAUAAAGUGGAAGACACUCACCUGAGUCUUAGCUCUCAUGAAGGGAGCACUAACA
Long non-coding RNA from Pygocentrus nattereri (red-bellied piranha), 582 nucleotides. RefSeq lists it as uncharacterized. The record is from RefSeq and is a predicted model, not a curated record. The transcript has 3 exons. Lineage: Eukaryota; Metazoa; Chordata; Actinopteri; Characiformes; Serrasalmidae.